CAAUAGCGUAUAUUUAAGUUGUUGCAGUUAAAAAGCUCGGAGUUGGAUUUCGGAUGGGACUUGCCGGUCCGUCGUUUCGAUGUGCACUGGCCAGUCCUAUCUUGUUGUCGGGGACUAGCUCCUGGGCUUCACUGUCCGGGACUAGGAGCUGACGAGGUUACUUUGAGUAAAUUAGAGUGUUCAAAGCAAGCCUACGCUCUGAAUACAUUAGCAUGGAAUAACACGAUAGGACUCUGGCUUAUCUUGUUGGUCUGUGAGACCAGAGUAAUGAUUAAGAGGGACAGUCGGGGGCAUUCGUAUUUCAUUGUCAGAGGUGAAAUUCUUGGAUUUAUGAAAGACGAACUUCUGCGAAAGCAUUUGUCAAGGAUGUUUUCAUUAA
Molecule: ribosomal RNA, 379 nt
Filed under: uncultured eukaryote
Lineage: Eukaryota
Description: partial 18S ribosomal RNA
Rfam family: Eukaryotic small subunit ribosomal RNA
Source: RNAcentral